This 428-nucleotide long non-coding RNA is filed under the name Brassica napus (rape). RNAcentral describes it as "long non-coding RNA (BNAP_LNC023351)". The record is from RNAcentral. Lineage: Eukaryota; Viridiplantae; Streptophyta; Magnoliopsida; Brassicales; Brassicaceae.
AGAUUCCUAGUUCUAAAAUCCCUAAGACGGCAAAAACCUAAUUGAAUCGUAGCUCGAAUAACAAAAACAGAAAAUUGCCUAAAAUCGCUCUAAGUGCAAAGUUUGCUGUGUGAAAGUCCUCUUUUCUGCCUCUCGCCUAGGACUCCUUAUAUACACGAGAAUAACAAUGAUAAAGUAUAAGAAAUCAAAAAGAGAGCAAAGUAGAUCUUAUUCCGAAUUCACGUUUGAGCGUUACAACAAGGUAAGAGCCUGGGCUACGAGAGCUGUCGGUGAGAUUCCUAGUCUAAAACCCUAAGACGGCAAUAACCUAGUUGAGUCGCAGCUCAAAUAACAAAAACGGAAAUAUGCCUAAAUCGCUCUAAGUGCUAAGUUUUCUCUCAAAAGUCCUCCUUCAUGCCUCUCGCCUAGGACUCCUUAUAUACUGGCUC